CCUACGGGGCGCACCAGUGGAGAAUAUUGCACAAUGGGCGCAAGCCUGAUGCAGCCAUGCCGCGUGUAUGAAGAAGGCCUUCGGGUUGUAAAGUACUUUCAGCGGGGAGGAAGGUGUUGUGGUUAAUAACCGCAGCAAUUGACGUUACCCGCAGAAGAAGCACCGGCUAACUCCGUGCCAGCAGCCGCGGUAAUACGGAGGGUGCAAACGUUAAUCGGAAUUACUGGGCGUAAGGCGCACGCAGGCGGUCUGUCAAGUCGGAUGUGAAAUCCCGGGCUCAACCUGGGAACUGCAUUCGAAACUGGCAGGCUAGAGUCUUGUAGAGGGGGGUAGAAUUCCAGGUGUAGCGGUGAAAUGCGUAGAGAUCUGGAGGAAUACCGGUGGCGAAGGCGGCCCCCUGGACAAAGACUGACGCUCAGGUGCGAAAGCGUGGGGAGCAAACAGGAUUAGAUACCCUCGUAGUC
This 464-nucleotide ribosomal RNA is filed under the name uncultured bacterium. Its description in RNAcentral is "bacterial SSU rRNA". It matches the Rfam family "Bacterial small subunit ribosomal RNA", at positions 338 to 795 of the family's 1533-position model. The record is from RNAcentral.